Molecule: ribosomal RNA, 459 nt
Filed under: uncultured bacterium
Lineage: Bacteria
Description: partial 16S ribosomal RNA
Rfam family: Bacterial small subunit ribosomal RNA
Source: RNAcentral
CCUACGGUGAGCAGCAGUGAGGAAUAUUGGUCAAUGGGCGGAAGCCUGAACCAGCCAAGUAGCGUGCGGGAUGAAGGCCCUACGGGUCGUAAACCGCUUUUGCACGGGGAUAACACCCUCCACUUGUGGAGGUCUGCAGGUACCGUGCGAAUAAGGGCCGGCUAAUUCCGUGCCAGCAGCCGCGGUAAUACGGAAGGCCCGAGCGUUAUCCGGAUUCAUUGGGCUUAAAGGGAGCGUAGGCGGGCGUUCAAGUCAGCUGUAAAAUCGCGCGGCUCAACCGCGCCCCGCAGUUGAAACUGGACGCCUUGAGUUCACAACAGUCAGGCGGAAUUCGUGGUGUAGCGGUGAAAUGCAUAGAUAUCACAAGGAACCCCGAUUGCGAAGGCAGCCUGCCGGGGUGCGACUGACGCUGAGGCUCGAAGGUGCGGGUAUCAAACAGGAUUAGAUACCCCAGUAGUC